Unclassified non-coding RNA from Ictidomys tridecemlineatus (thirteen-lined ground squirrel), 202 nucleotides. Lineage: Eukaryota; Metazoa; Chordata; Mammalia; Rodentia; Sciuridae. The record is from Ensembl.
CUAGGAGAACCGAAAACAGUUCUAGACAGACCUGCGGUUUUAUAGCAGUUUUGGCAGUCAACUUCAGCUUGUGUCUGAGCAGUGGGGCCACGGUGGCCCACCAGCUGGGGGACGCCAAGCUACCUCCCCAGGCAGAAUACAGCCCCUCUCUUAAUUAGAUCGGUUUCCCUGGUGCCAGGGGAAAGGAGUUCUUGCAGAAAGG